RNAcentral lists this ribosomal RNA (396 nucleotides) under uncultured bacterium. Its description in RNAcentral is "bacterial SSU rRNA". It matches the Rfam family "Bacterial small subunit ribosomal RNA", at positions 28 to 414 of the family's 1533-position model. The record is from RNAcentral.
GACGAACGCUGGCGGCGUGCUUAACACAUGCAAGUCGAGCGGGAUCCAACCGGUGGCAACACCGGGGAAGAUCUAGCGGCGAACGGGUGAGUAACACGUGAGCAACCUGCCCCGAAGACUGGGAUAACACCGGGAAACCGGUGCUAAUACCGGAUGUCGUCAUUAGGCCGCAUGACCUGAUGAUGAAAGGAUUCAUCGCUUCGGGGAGGGGCUCGCGGGCUAUCAGCNGUUGGUGGGGUAACGGCCUACCAAGGCGACGACGGCUAGCUGGUCUGAGAGGACGACCAGCCACACUGGGACUGAGACACGGCCCAGACUCCUACGGGAGGCAGCAGGUGGGGAAUCUUGCGCAAUGGGCGAAAGCCUGACGCAGCAACGCCGCGUGGGGGAUGAAUG